Molecule: ribosomal RNA, 460 nt
Filed under: uncultured bacterium
Lineage: Bacteria
Description: partial 16S ribosomal RNA
Rfam family: Bacterial small subunit ribosomal RNA
Source: RNAcentral
CCUACGGGUGGCAGCAGUGAGGAAUAUUGGUCAAUGGCCGGAAGCCUGAACCAGCCAAGCAGCGUGCAGGACGAAGGUCCCACGCAUCGUAAACUUCUUUUGUCAAGGGACAACAUCAGCCUCGAGAGCCUGACCGCGGGUACUUGAAGAAAAAGCAUCGGCUAACUCCGUGCCAGCAGCCGCGGUAAUACGGAGGGGGCGAGCGUUAUCCGGAUUUAUUGGGUUUAAAGGGAGCGUAGGUGGAUGGUUAAGUCAGUUGUUAAAGUCUGCGGAUCAACCGUAGAAUUGCAGUUGAAACUGGCAGUCUUGAGUACAGUAGAGGUGGGCGGAAUUCGUGGUGUAGCGGUGAAAUGCUUAGAUAUCACGAAGAACUCCGAUUGCGAAGGCAGCUCACUGGACUGCAACUGACACUGAGGCUCGAAAGUGUGGGUAUCAAACAGGAUUAGAUACCCUAGUAGUC